Molecule: ribosomal RNA, 305 nt
Filed under: uncultured bacterium
Lineage: Bacteria
Description: bacterial SSU rRNA
Rfam family: Bacterial small subunit ribosomal RNA
Source: RNAcentral
GGGUCCUCCGGGAGGCCUCAGUGAGGAAUAUUGGUCAAUGGCCGGCCGGCUUCCCCCUCCCAGCCGCGUGCAGGACGAAGGUGCCAAGCAUUGUAAACUUCUUUUGUCAAGGGACAAAAUCAGGCUCGAGAGCCUGACCGAGGGUACUUGAAGAAAAAGCAUCGGCUAACUCCGUGCCAGCAGCCGCGGUAAUACGGAGGAUGCGAGCGUUAUCCGGAUUUAUUGGGUUUAAAGGGUGCGUAGUCGGACUGUUAAUUCAGCGGUAAUAGCCCGGGUCUCAACCCCGGCGAGCCGUUGAAACUGGG